AAAACAAACGUUGCAAUGAGCGAUGUCUCAAGAAACCGACAAGUACGUUAACCAAGACUCUUAAAUAAAAAGGAAAAAAAAAUCACUUACCACAUCAAACCCUAUCAAAUCCUAAGAAAACAAAAAUCAAAUUCCCCAAACCUUUUAGUCUACCCAUUCAUCUCAUUCGCUCCGAUGCACCGGAAAACCCAUCUGUGGGAGUGGAAAUCCCCUAGACUCCACAAUUCAGUUCUAUCUUCAUGUCCCUACUCCUCCGAUUCACUGAGCUCCUUGAAGAUUCUAUUGAAAACAGAGACCACACCAUCUGGACUCAGAACAAUAACCCCCAUCUUACCUUCGUUGCUCGUUUAAGAUGAUAGCCUCAACUUCUAGAAGGGCUUCCUCCAUCCAAUAUCUCGGGCUUCCACACCGUCGUCCCUAACUCACCAUCUCGUAGGCUACUCUAUUCGCCGCUCUUAGGACAAAACGGGAGAAUCGCAAGCACACCACCCUCAAUGCACACUUGUUAAAACCCAUUUCCUCGGCAAAGGUAACCACCUGAAGGCAUGGAUGCGCUUCUACUGUUAUUGGAUCUUAAAUAUUUUUUAUCGAGUAAGCACAUGCCCCCAUGACCAUGCCUUGGUUGUUUCUUAUAAUUACUCAUGCGAUAGCUCUUUGUAUCUGUUGUUGGUAGGAGGCAUCAAAGUUAACUUCUAUUGUGUCUCUCUUAGGAGGCUUCCAUCUUGUUUCUCUAUAGUCAUUUUGAUGUAUUGAUAUCUCUUCUAAAAUGCGUAACUCUGCUAAAUAUUCUUUGAUGAAACUUACGACCUGAUCUGCCCUUUCUCUCUUUCCUUCAUGGUAGUACAUAUUUCUGUUGUACCAAAUUGCCCAAAAAAUUGUGGCUAUAUGUAUACUCUGUUCAUUAUUGUUCUUUUAGAAAAAAAUAUGCUAACCAAAAUUUCUAUUCUUGACUAAUGUCGACAUGCGAGGUUACCAAUCCAAUCUGCUGUAGAACCUACUUCGUGAAAGCGCAGUCUCAAAAAAUAUGUGCUACCGUUUUGUUGUCUAUCUUGCAAAUUGGGCAAAGGGUCUCCUCCCUUAAUAUUUUAUGUUUUAAAUUACUUAAUGUAGGCAAAAAAUUAUUAAAUACCUUCCAAAGAUAUAUUCUGAUCUUGCUUGGGAUUUUGAGAUUCCAUAGCUUUAUGUAAAAGUUUUUUUAUGGCUAUAUCUUGUAAAUAAUUGUUUCCCUUGUCCCGUUAUGAUUACUUGUAAUACACCACUUGUAACCGCUUUUAACGGAGUAUUCCUCUGUACUGUUGCCUCUCCAAACUAGCUCAUCUAGAAAGGAGUUGUUCAUCAGUGGGAUAGCAAGGGUCUUCUCUGCUUGUUCCUCUGUGAAAAUAUCUUCAAUUAUAUCCUCUUUCCAGCCCUGGAAUCCAUAUGUCAUUCCAAAUAUUCACAAAUCUGUCAUUUCUAAUUCUCCAUUCGAGUCAUUCCUGCAAGAUACAACAUGCUCCUCAAAUACUCCGCCAGGUAAAAGAAGGGUGAGAUCCUAAUCCAGCAUUCAUAAAAUCACUCAUUGGACAGUAUUUAGCUUUCAUUACCUACGCUAACAGACUAGUAGAAUUGGUAAUUAGUUUCCAUCCUUACUUUGCUAAAAGGGCUUUAUUAAAAAUUGAUAACUUUCUAAAACCAA
This is a long non-coding RNA of Gossypium raimondii (Peruvian cotton), 1675 nucleotides long. RefSeq lists it as uncharacterized. The record is from RefSeq and is a predicted model, not a curated record. NCBI's taxonomy places the organism in Eukaryota, Viridiplantae, Streptophyta, Magnoliopsida, Malvales, Malvaceae. The transcript has 3 exons.